This 872-nucleotide ribosomal RNA is filed under the name uncultured organism. RNAcentral's name for it is "bacterial SSU rRNA". It matches the Rfam family "Bacterial small subunit ribosomal RNA", at positions 9 to 929 of the family's 1533-position model. The record is from RNAcentral.
GAGUUUGAUCCUGGCUCAGAAUGAAUGCUGGCGGCAUGCCUAACACAUGCAAGUCGAACGAGAUCUUCGGAUCUAGUGGCGCACGGGUGAGUAACGCGUGGGAACCUACCUUUUAGUACGGGACAACGUUUGGAAACGAACGCUAAUACCGUAUACGCCCUCCGGGGGAAAGGUCAGCCGCUAAAAGAGGGGCCCGCGUCUGAUUAGCUUGUUGGUAAGGUAAUGGCUUACCAAGGCUUCGAUCAGUAGCUGGUCUGAGAGGAUGAUCAGCCACACUGGGACUGAGACACGGCCCAGACUCCUACGGGAGGCAGCAGUGGGGAAUAUUGGACAAUGGAGGCAACUCUGAUCCAGCAAUGCCGCGUGUGUGAUGAAGGCCCUAGGGUUGUAAAGCACUUUCAACGGUGAAGAUGAUGACGGUAGCCGUAGAAGAAGCCCCGGCUAACUUCGUGCCAGCAGCCGCGGUAAUACGAAGGGGGCGAGCGUUAUUCGGAAUUAUUGGGCGUAAAGGGCUCGCAGGCUGCUUGAACAGUUAGACGUGAAAUCCCCGGGCUCAACCUGGGAACUGCGUUUAAUACUAGCAAGCUAGAGUAAUAGAGAGGAAAGUGGAACUCCCAGUGUAGAGGUGAAAUUCGUAGAUAUUGGGAAGAACACCAGUGGCGAAAGCGGCUUUCUGGCUAUUUACUGACGCUGAGGAGCGAAAGCGUGGGGAGCAAACAGGAUUAGAUACCCUGGUAGUCCACGCCGUAAACGAUGUGUGCUAGAUGUUGGAGGGAUACCUUUCAGUGUCGCAGCUAACGCACUAAGCACACCGCCUGGGAAGUACGGUCGCAAGAUUAAAACUCCAAGGAAUUGACGGGGGCCCGCACAAG